GGCGGCAGGCUUAACACAUGCAAGUCGAACGACAUAGUGGCAGACGGGUGAGUAACGCGUGGAAACGUACCUUUCACUACGGAAUAGCUCUUGGAAACGAGUGGUAAUACCGUAUACGCCCUUCGGGGGAAAGAUUUAUCGGUGAAAGAUCGGUCCGCGUUAGAUUAGCUAGUUGGUGAGGUAAGAGCUCACCAAGGCGACGAUCUAUAGCUGGUCUGAGAGGAUGAUCAGCCACACUGGGACUGAGACACGGCCCAGACUCCUACGGGAGGCAGCAGUGGGGAAUAUUGCACAAUGGGCGAAAGCCUGAUGCAGCCAUGCCGCGUGAAUGAUGAAGGCCUUAGGGUUGUAAAAUUCUUUCGCUAGGGAUGAUAAUGACAGUACCUAGUAAAGAAGCCCCGGCUAACUUCGUGCCAGCAGCCGCGGUAAUACGAAGGGGGCUAGCGUUGUUCGGAAUUACUGGGCGUAAAGCGCACGUAGGCGGGUUAUUAAGUCAGAUGUGAAAUCCCAAGGCUCAACCUUGGAACUGCAUUUGAAACUGAUAGCCUAGAGAUCAGGAGAGGUUAGCGGAAUACCGAGUGUAGAGGUGAAAUUCGUAGAUAUUCGGUGGAACACCAGUGGCGAAGGCGGCUAACUGGACUGAUACUGACGCUGA
RNAcentral lists this ribosomal RNA (655 nucleotides) under alpha proteobacterium IMCC14667. Its description in RNAcentral is "bacterial SSU rRNA". It matches the Rfam family "Bacterial small subunit ribosomal RNA", at positions 38 to 749 of the family's 1533-position model. The record is from RNAcentral. Lineage: Bacteria; Pseudomonadati; Pseudomonadota; Alphaproteobacteria. RNAcentral also lists the same sequence under 1 other name.